This is a long non-coding RNA of Halichondria panicea, 594 nucleotides long. RefSeq lists it as uncharacterized. The record is from RefSeq and is a predicted model, not a curated record. Lineage: Eukaryota; Metazoa; Porifera; Demospongiae; Suberitida; Halichondriidae. The transcript is spliced from 3 exons.
UUUGUAUCUGAACUGUAUGCAUGCGGAUCAGUAACUAUUCUGUAUUUUCAAAUUGUACUUGAUCUGAAGCAGAUUUCAGCCAAUUACUGUACUGUUAGUUUUUUAUUGAUACACAAGUGUACAACGGACAGAACAGUAUCUGAUGUGUUAAGAGAUCAUGUAUGAUGUAUCAGACCAGAAGCUUAAAAUAGAGCACAUGAGAGAGCACAUGUAGUAAUAAAACAAAGCAAAGCAAAGCAAAAUGUCUUCCCCAGAUAGCCAGCUCCUACAGUCGAUAUUAGAUGAGUUAAAAAGUGAGUGUAUAAGUUACAGCAUGAUUAUACAUAAUUAUAUAGACUUUUCCUCAUUGACAUGACUUGUAUAAUAAUAUAGCUGUUCAGUACCUUAUAGAUCUACUUUAUACAAUGCACCAUUGUCCAGCAAUCAUGCACCUACGAUUAUUAUAGGUUUACGUUUCAAUAUCAGCACCAUUGAUAAAAAACUAACAACGCUAACGAAACUCCAGGGAAACAUUGAGUCAGCUGCAGACUCAGAUUCAAGCACUUCAAGUCCUAGGAAAUGCCUCACUUUUGAUGCUCCUCGCAGGGAUCUCAA